This is a long non-coding RNA of Etheostoma cragini (Arkansas darter), 372 nucleotides long. RefSeq lists it as uncharacterized. The transcript has 2 exons. Lineage: Eukaryota; Metazoa; Chordata; Actinopteri; Perciformes; Percidae. The record is from RefSeq and is a predicted model, not a curated record.
GGAAGCUGCUGACUGUAGCAUGACAGGGAGGUGACUACUCUGUUUGGCCUGGUCACACUCUAUUUAAGAAAUUUGGACAUGUGCGUUGCGGGCGAGAAGAAAAACAGGCACGCAGACAGCUCUGACAAGCAAUUACAUCGCAGCUUGUUUGGGAGGCAGGUUGGGAUGAGCUGUGGUCGGCUGGCGGGGCAGAAGAUUGAAUACUCCAGAGACGGAGAGGGAAAUGGCCAGAGGGAGAACACAGGUGAGACAUUCACAGGCACGCUUUCAUUUUUUGUAUUCUAAUGCUUGUGUUGUUGAUUGAGCAUGUCUGGAGUGAUUGCUGCACAAUUGAUUCGCUGCACAUCUGGCGAAUAAACCACCUGCCUAACA